Molecule: ribosomal RNA, 253 nt
Filed under: uncultured bacterium
Lineage: Bacteria
Description: partial 16S ribosomal RNA
Rfam family: Bacterial small subunit ribosomal RNA
Source: RNAcentral
UACGUAGGGUGCGAGCGUUGUCCGGAAUUAUUGGGCGUAAAGGGCGCGUAGGCGGACCUGCAAGUCGGGGGUGAAAGCCCGAGGCUUAACCUCGGAACUGCCUUCGAUACUGCGGGUCUCGAGUCCGGGAGAGGUGAGUGGAAUUCCUAGUGUAGAGGUGAAAUUCGUAGAUAUUAGGAAGAACACCAGUGGCGAAGGCGGCUCACUGGCCCGGUACUGACGCUGAGGCGCGAAAGCGUGGGGAGCAAACAGG